UCAGGAUAGAGACCAGGAGAUCGGAGGUAAGUGAUUCGAAUACAGUUUUAUUCAGGUGACAAUCGUGUAAGGUGAGUAUAAGGUGAAUUUUCAGGUGCAGAUUUAGUGAAGAUCACUUGAUGCACGGAGAACAACAGGUGAUCCAGGUCACUUCAAUCGUAGUAUAAUUACUCAGUCUCAGUUCGUUAAUCCUUUCUCUCUUCUAGGAAUGAUCGGAGCAACUUGGUCAGAUCUCGAACAUGGGUUCUCAGGAAUCGGAUGGGAGAUCUGGAGAUGGCAGAACAAUAUUGCAAAGGGUUAGUAUGAGUCAGGUAAGGAAACAGAAUACUCAGGAGUUCAGAGUUAACAGGAUUCUCAGGACACGGGAAGAAACGGUCUGUUCCUGUUGGAGGCUUGACAAAGACUGGAAUCGCAGUGAGUGUUCUUAUGAGCUGGUUGAUGAGGUAAUUGAUGAUGACCAGGUGUGUGUGUUUAAUAUUCUGGAGAGAGUGAUCUUUGAGUGGUGGGCUGAAACGAGCUUGAUUGAUCCCUGACACCCCCUCUACAUUCCUUAGAUACAGUGGCAUUCCAUUGCAAUGACUAUUACUGAUCAAUGAGUAUUAAAAUUUCUACAACAGCCCACACUUGUUUAAAUGCUGAUUUUUUCACCCAUCGUCAUCUUCUGAAUUAACAGGUGAGUGCCCUUUUGCUUUGCUUUUUAUCAUAGCCAGAAUACAUCACAUUUGUGUUGAACUCAUAUUGUGCUGUGAUAAUGAUUUUGGUAGCCUACCUGCCAUCCGAUCCCAAUAUCAACUAAAUAAACAGUUUGUAACAUUAUAUUUCCGUCUUUAAGCCCAAGAUCUUUGUUUCUUUUACAAAAUUUGUUUUCUUGAAGUGAAUACAAUGCUUUUGGGAAACAAAAGUUUUAUGCAGGGAUGCAUGCUAUUCCUUCUCUUUUAAUCUGAAAAUGUUGGUGAUACUGGAAUGGUAUCAAACUUUUUAAACACUUGUUUCAGAGGGAAGCCAACUGCAACUGUGUCACAUAGAUUGCAGCUGGAUUUCUGAAUCGGAUCUUAUAUUGCAAGCGCACUGAAAUGACAAGCAACAGCCACAGCAGCUAAUGUAGAAAUGACACUUAAGCUACCUGCAACUCCUCGACUGAUACUCCUUGUUUCAGGUGAAACACUGGGAAAAUGUAUUCACCACUGGAUGAUCAGCCUUGAGGGGCACAUUUGUGAAGGCAUCCAUCCAACUUUUCUGUCUGGGCUUGCUGCUGCCUUUUCUACUUUCUACACCUUAAAUCUUCAGUACCAAGAUUAUGCUGCAUGCACACUGGAAUUCAUUCAAAGGCUUUUCAUCAGGAUAAAUCCUGAGAGAAGCAUCAAUGAUGGACGAGGCAAAGUCCUGUCAAAGCAUACGGGGAUAGUUGUCCAGAAAAAGAUGACAUCAGUCAAUCCUCGUGUCUCCAGUCUACUAAAGAAACAAAUGGACUUUGAGUGGGACUUUAUAUAAGUCAGUGAAACCAGUCACACACACACACACACACACACACACACACACACACACACACACACACACACACACAUGUUGUGUUUCCAUGUUUUAUGGGGACUUUCCAUAGACAUAAUGGUUUUUAUACUGUACAAACUUUAUAUUCUAUCCCCUAAACCUAACCCUACCCCUAAACCUAACCCUCACAGAAAACCUUCUGCAUUUUUACAUUUUCAAAAAACAUAAUUUAGUAUGAUUUAUAAGCUGUUUUCCUCAUGGGGACCGACAAAAUGUCCCCACAAGGUCAAACAUUUCGGGUUUUACUAUCCUUAUGGGGACAUUUGGUCCUCACAAAGUGAUAAAUACACGCUCUCACACACACACACACACACACACAUGUUGUGUUUCCAUGUUUUAUGGGGACUUUCGAUAGACAUAAUGGUUUUUAUACUGUAAAAACUUUAUAUUCUAUCCCCUAAACCUAACCCUACCCCUAAACCUAACCCUCACAGAAAACAUUCUGCAUUUUUACAUUUUCAAAAAACAUAAUUUAGUAUGAUUUAUAAGCUGUUUUCCUCAUGGGG
This is a long non-coding RNA of Xyrauchen texanus (razorback sucker), 2054 nucleotides long. RefSeq lists it as uncharacterized. The record is from RefSeq and is a predicted model, not a curated record. NCBI's taxonomy places the organism in Eukaryota, Metazoa, Chordata, Actinopteri, Cypriniformes, Catostomidae. The transcript has 4 exons.